Molecule: non-coding RNA, 80 nt
Organism: Flavobacterium sp. ov086
Lineage: Bacteria; Pseudomonadati; Bacteroidota; Flavobacteriia; Flavobacteriales; Flavobacteriaceae
Source: Rfam
CCCUAGCCCCGAUAGUAACGGAAAUCCUUUUGCUUUUUAAAGGAAAAAGCAAAAGAUUGUAGUGCAUAGCGGGAAAUAGC